UACGAAGGGGGCUAGCGUUGUUCGGAAUUACUGGGCGUAAAGCGCGCGCAGGCGGCUAUCCAAGUCAGUGGUGAAAGCCCGGAGCUCAACUCCGGAACUGCCAUUGAAACUGUUUAGCUGGAGUAUGAGAGAGGUGAGUGGAAUUCCCAGUGUAGAGGUGAAAUUCGUAGAUAUUGGGAAGAACACCGGUGGCGAAGGCGGCUCACUGGACCAUUACUGACGCUGAGGCACGAAAGCUAGGGGAGCAAACAGG
This 253-nucleotide ribosomal RNA is filed under the name uncultured bacterium. RNAcentral describes it as "partial 16S ribosomal RNA". It matches the Rfam family "Bacterial small subunit ribosomal RNA", at positions 524 to 776 of the family's 1533-position model. The record is from RNAcentral.